UCAGUUUUAAAUGCUGCCGAGUACUACUUCUAUACAUCGCAUUUUUGGUGACGUAGCGGUCGAUCAAAAGCGCUAUUUCUUUUCAUACUUUGUGCUCAAUUCCGAAAGCCAAGAAGUAUUGUAGGCUGUGCCACUCAUUAGUCAUUGUUAGUUGUGAGAAAGAUGAGGACUAUAGAAGAGAUGAUUUCGUGACAUAAUCCAGAACAAAGAACAACGAAGACGUCUUACUUUUUACUUCUCUUCCUAGUAGUAAAACAAUUAAGUCUAUUUGUUUAUAUUUACUUUAAGUAAAUUCUAGUAUAAGAACGAAGGUUAAAUUUCUUUUUUUUUGUUUGGUUUACUAACUACAAAUACUUUUUUCUAAUAUACUAAUGUAUAGCCAAACACGUGAGUUUCAGGAUGAAUUGUUUGCAAAUUGAGACGUCAUAUUUGAAAAAUAUUGGUGAAAAUAAAAUAGGAAAAUAAAAUAGUCCGUUCAAGGAGAUGUAAAUAAAACAGUCGCGUGUUAAGCACGAGAUAAAUGUAAUUAUUCGCUGGCAAACAACGGUUAAUGUAGAUUCAGGAGCGGAAUCAUAGUUUAUUUCGAUUUUCAUCUAACAAAUAUUACAAUAUUCGAAGGUUGUGAAAACGCUCUUGUCCUGAUCACGUCGCCAUCAUGAGCAUUUCUUACUUGAUUCGUUUUUUAAAAGAAACUAUACAUUUAUCCACCGAAGAUUUAUUGCGUCUAUUUUGUUGGUUUUUAUUUUUGACGUUUGUAUCCUUUUGUUUUUUUAAUGGUGUUUUAUGUAAUAAUUAAAAAUUUAUUAAUCGUGAUUAAUUAAUUGUGAUAUUUUGUGUUAUAUUUAACUUUCGUAUAUAAUGUAUAGAUAUAUGUUUAUAUAUACAUGCACAUUGUACAUCACAGUGGCAUGGAAUGUAUAUCUGUAUAUUUAUUAUAUCCACACACACACACACAAUCUUAACUUAAUAAAGCUCUUUCAUUUUACGUGUUAUGAUACAUUAAAUUCUACGACGAAGGGCAACACAAAAUAUUUACGGUUACGUUCGAUAUCAGACAAUUUUCUGUGGUCGAACAAGAUGUUUCAUGAUCAACCUCGCUUACGAGUAGAUAAGAGCCAGGAUAAUGAUGAGUUCUAAUCUGCAUUCGUAAUGAUGAAUAUGAAAAGUGACGCAGUGUCUCAGUCAGUGGCAUCAGUUAUCUAUUAAUCCUUGGAACCAUACGCUUACUCUUGCUUUUUGUCAUGGAGAGGAAGAGAAAACAAGAGAAAGAUAAAGAAAGGAAUAUCAACCAGUUGGACUUCUUUUUGUCACACUGCUAAGGACCGCUUCGAUCACCACCACUAUCCUAUUAUCUGUAUCGUCAUGCCUCUUUUGAUGAUCCAAUUUUUGAUUCCAAAAAAUGUGUAGGUAGGGUUCCAGAGAUCUUAUUCAAUUUUCAUCACGAAAACUAUGCUACUAAUUUUACGGAUAAUAGAUCGCGAAAUCACACAUUUCGCGGUAUGGCUAUUGUACAAGCGCAUGGGAUUCAUCUAGCUCCAUGGUAGUGAAAUCGCCAUUUUGGAUUCUGUGAUUCGGUUACGAUAAAUCAUCAGAAGGUCAUCUAUUAAUUACAGGUAUAUAUAUCUUGUUUCAACAAAUAUAAUUCAUGAUUACACGCAAAACAAUCCUAGAAUAAAUUUUUGCUCAUAGGGUUUUUAAUUGUUUCUACAUUUAAAUGUGUAAGUUAAUUAAAUAAAAUUAUAUUGAAUACAAAUGAGUGAAGUAGAGUUAUACUUACGUUGGUGAAGUAUUCUUUGUUAUCCUUAGACUGGAGUUCAUCCUACAAAGAUCAACAAAGAUUUUAAUCAUUAUUGCAGUUCUGCGCAAUGCAAUGAAUAAAUCAAGUGUUGUAUUGCUUAAAUAGAAUAAAAAAUCGCGAAUUAGAGUCAGUAUUUGUUUAUUAACUUACGUUUAUCCACGAUUAAAGAAAACUUUUAGAAGACUUUUAGUUUUAUGUUAUUCUGCGAUUGAAGAAGACUUUUAGAAACAUGUGUAUCUAAAUCGACUGACGCGAGAUUCAAAAAAUUUUUCGAAAUGCAUUUUUAUAACAAAAGAUAUUGGAAAUCUAAACUAUUUACAUUAAGGGAAAUGAUAUGAAUGGUUUAAGCUAUCAAGAAUUAGUAAGAAUUUGGUUUUAAAAUACUAAAAGAGUCAAUACAUCAUUGAAGAUGAUCAACUCGUACGAUAACUGUGAUAAGAUCGAGAUGAUGGUCUCUUACAAUUAUUUCAACCUAUAUUGGUGUCCACCUACAUCGUUGUCGAUCUAUAAUCAACGAGUUGACAGUAUGACUGCGAACAAGUGUUUUGGAGCCACCGUAUUUAAGUAGAAAUCGGUUAAUUCAUCAACACUGGGUAUUUCAUUCGCCUCUGCAUGCUGUUCCAUUUUUGUUGUGUGGUUGUAUCGAGCUUUGUUUCGAUCAUGUGAAGCAAUAAUUCGUCCCAAGGCUCGGUUGAAAAUUACAUCUUCUUUAAUACUUAAAGAUAUUUGAGUAUUUAUUUAUACUCGCGGAUUUUCAUUUGACUCAGUAUCUGGAAUGAAUAGUGAAUCUGUUUUUUCUUGAUUGAUUUGGGAUCGUCAUAGCAUCUUUUUAGUAAGUUCCAUGCAAUUUCGUAAUUCAUGUCGAAAAUUGAAUAUAACUUAAUUAACUUUGCUAUGUUUUAUCUGUUAACGAAGAAUACUGUAUUUCUGAAUAUUUGAGAUGCAUUAGCACCUUGAAGGCUUUGAAAUAUUUCUUCCAGUCCUCGAUUUUUCGAAACUUGUCAAUUUCUCGACUAGCGGUUUCAUUUAAAGUUUUCGUUACGAUUGUUUGAUAGUAAGAUCAACAAGGUUGUUCUAAAAACUCUACCGAUAAAUCAUUGUUUACAGCGUUCAUAUUUUUGUUGGUAAUUAUGACAGAAUAUGCACGUUUUACAGUGGCCUUUUAAAAUUCGUCUUUUUUUCUGGUAUUUCACAUGACCACGGUAUUGCCGAAGAAAUAUUACAGAUCUUCAAAUAUUACCAUCAUUUCUUAAUUCUUUCAUAUAUUUAUAUAUAUAACAAUAACAAUAAUAUAACUUUUCUUAAUAACGCUUUUAUAACAAAGACUGAUCCUCAACUUCUAUUGAUUAUUUUUUGCUCGCCAAUCAACUUUUUGACCAAUCAGCAAUGUGCGAUUUAUGAUUGUGCCUCUAACGGAACACGUUCGCAAUAGUAAUAUUGCUCAAACUGCUAUUUGGCUGAUAUCGGUUUUGUUGCUUGGUCAGUAAUAUCGGUAUUAUUAGACCGGCGGUGGCAUGGUAUAACAUUAGUGGAUUUUGCAUAUCCGCGUUGACUUGAAUUUUGAUGGAGUUCGAAGCCAUUCAAUAUAAAUUGAACGUUUUAUGCGAAGCACGGAAGCCGACUCGUUUUAUGCGAAGCACUGAAGCCGACUCGUUCUUCCACAUUAAAAUCGAAAAAUGUUCAUAUCUUCUACAACGAUUUUUAUUCAUCGUACUUUUUCGCCAAUGAAAAUAAAAUAAAAAAAGUUGUUUCUCCACGGGUUGUAAGUGAUGUUCAUAUGUUUUCACUGAUGACAUAGUCGGCUCGAGAAUUUUACGUUAUUCCCAAAAACACGUUCAUCGAAUUCUCGAAUCGAAAUUAAUUAAAACGUAACCUAAUUUUUAUCUAUUGCGAUGUAAGAUUAACUAGCUGAAUGAUAGAUAGACGAAGUAUAAUAAUGUAACAAUAUAUUCUUAUGAUUCUUAUGACAUACUGAUUAUAAUAGUGAGACGCACUAUGUGAUCUAUUAGAGUUUUAAGUUGUGCUUUGAUAAAGAUUUUGCUUGGAUCUUGAGAGUUAUUUUAUGAUUAACUAUCCAACAAGAUGGUUGGAAUAAUUUGAAAAAAAGAGAAAGGAAGAGGGAAAGUAUGUCAUAUCUAUAUUGAUACCUAUAUAUAAACAAUAAAAGUUUUCAUCAUUUUAUAAUACAAAAGAUUUGAUAUCAAAUUAUUUUAUUUAGAUGAGACAUAUUGCUUAAAUGAUAACCUACCUUUAAAUAAUAAUUAAUUUUCAUUUACGGAUAAAUAAUGAAAUGGGUGAAGUAAUAAGUGACAGUUUUAAACGAUAAAGUGAAGCUUGUUAUUAAAUUUUAUUAUUUUUAUCUGUAUUACCUGUUGUAAUUUCUAUGUAAGAAAAUAAUGUAUGCAAUAAAAAGACAUCUGUUCCUAUUUAGUCCUAUAAACCAAUCGUCGGCGACUUGGUCGAGGAAAGACUAAAAACUUAACAACCAAAAAAUUCGACAACCGAAUUCGGUGACUCGAAGUAUCGUCAGUAUCUUAGGAACAAAAGGAUAGCGUCAAAAGAAAUAUAUAAUAUUUGCAUAUAAUAUAUAUUGCAUAUAUAAUAUAGCCAAGAAUAACUGUUAUAACAUUUUUUGUUUCUCAUAACUGUUCAGAACUUUAUGAAAUUAUGCUUUAUUAAUUAGUUUUUUAUAAACAAUGAGUGUACAUUUCCUCGGAAAUUUCCAAAAUAGAUAUAGUGUAAUCAAAAAAUGAAUUACUUGUACAAUUUGCAAAAUUAACAAGAAAAAAUAAA
Long non-coding RNA from Vespula vulgaris, 4591 nucleotides. RefSeq lists it as uncharacterized. The record is from RefSeq and is a predicted model, not a curated record. The transcript has 8 exons. NCBI's taxonomy places the organism in Eukaryota, Metazoa, Arthropoda, Insecta, Hymenoptera, Vespidae.